Acanthosepion pharaonis is the source of this 104-nucleotide non-coding RNA. NCBI's taxonomy places the organism in Eukaryota, Metazoa, Mollusca, Cephalopoda, Sepiida, Sepiidae. The record is from the annotation of a GenBank genome assembly.
GCCAUAUCCAGUUGAAACACCGGUACCCAUACGUUCACCGAAAUUAAGCAACGUUGAGCCUGGUCUCUACCUAGAUGGGUGACCUCGUAGGCAUACCUGGUGCU